AUGAUGACUCUCGGCAACGGAUAUCUCGGCUCUCGCAUCGAUGAAGAACGUAGCGAAAUGCGAUACCUGGUGUGAAUUGCAGAAUCCCGUGAGCCAUCGAGUCUUUGAACGCAAGUUGCACCCGAGGCCACCCGAUCGAGGGCACGCCUGCCUGGGCGUCACUC
Molecule: ribosomal RNA, 164 nt
Filed under: Pinanga heterophylla
Lineage: Eukaryota; Viridiplantae; Streptophyta; Magnoliopsida; Arecales; Arecaceae
Description: 5.8S rRNA
Rfam family: 5.8S ribosomal RNA
About the family: 5.8S ribosomal RNA (5.8S rRNA) is a component of the large subunit of the eukaryotic ribosome. It is transcribed by RNA polymerase I as part of the 45S precursor that also contains 18S and 28S rRNA.
Source: RNAcentral